UAUGGCCAUAUCAUGUUCCAACAGUUGUUCCCAUACAAUCACUGAAGUUAAACAACAUCGAACUUGGUCAGUACCUAGAUGGGUGACUGCUUGGGAAUACCAGGUGCUGUAAG
Molecule: non-coding RNA, 113 nt
Organism: Acanthosepion pharaonis
Lineage: Eukaryota; Metazoa; Mollusca; Cephalopoda; Sepiida; Sepiidae
Source: the annotation of a GenBank genome assembly